RNAcentral lists this ribosomal RNA (2896 nucleotides) under Clostridioides difficile. RNAcentral's name for it is "23S ribosomal RNA". It matches the Rfam family "Bacterial large subunit ribosomal RNA". The record is from RNAcentral. Lineage: Bacteria; Bacillati; Bacillota; Clostridia; Peptostreptococcales; Peptostreptococcaceae.
UCAAGUUAUUAAGGGUGCAGGGCGGAUGCCUUGGCACUAGGAGCCGAUGAAGGACGUGAUAAGCUGCGAUAAGCUUCGGGGAGUUGCACGUAAACUUUGAUCCGAAGAUUUCCGAAUGAGGAAACUCACUUAGAGUAAUGUCUAAGUAUCAUUAAGUGAAUACAUAGCUUAAUGAGGGGAACUCAGGGAACUGAAACAUCUAAGUACCUGAAGGAAGAGAAAGAAAUUCGAUUCCGUAAGUAGCGGCGAGCGAACGCGGAUUAGCCCAAACCAAUAAAGUUUUCUUUAUUGGGGUUGCGGACAUAUCAUAACGAAGAGGUAUCGUAAUUGAAGAGGUUUGGAAAGACCCACCACAGAAGGUAAUAGUCCUGUAUGUUAAACGAGAAGACUUCAGAUAUGAUCCAGAGUACCACGGGACACGUGAAACCCUGUGGGAAGCAGGAGGGACCACCCUCCAAGGCUAAAUACUACCUAGUGACCGAUAGCGUAUAGUACCGUGAGGGAAAGGUGAAAAGAACCCCGGGAGGGGAGUGAAAUAGAACCUGAAACCCUGCACUUACAAGCUGUGGAAGCACAUUUCUUGUGUGACCGCGUACUUUUUGUAGAACGGGCCAACGAGUUACGUUAAGUAGCAAGGUUAAGCACUUAAGGUGCGGAGCCGUAGCGAAAGCGAGUUUUAACUGAGCGUUCAGUUACUUGACGUAGACCCGAAACCGGGCGACCUACCCAUGAGCAGGAUGAAGCGAAAGUAAAAUUUCGUGGAGGUCCGAACCCACGAGCGUUGAAAAGCUCGGGGAUGACUUGUGGGUAGCGGUGAAAUUCCAAUCGAGCCCGGAGAUAGCUGGUUCUCCCCGAAAUAGCUUUAGGGCUAGCCUCAAGGUGAGAGAUACGGAGGUAGAGCACUGAAUGUCCUAGGGGGUAUUGCACCUACCGAAGACUAUCAAACUCCGAAUGCCGUCAUCUUAUACUUGGGAGUCAGACUGUGGGUGAUAAGAUUCAUAGUCGAAAGGGCAACAGCCCAGAUCGUCAGCUAAGGUCCCUAAAUGUAAGUUAAGUGGUAAAGGAUGUGGGAUUGCACAGACAACCAGGAUGUUGGCUUAGAAGCAGCCACUCAUUCAAAGAGUGCGUAAUAGCUCACUGGUCGAGUGAUCCUGCGCCGAAGAUUUCCGGGGCUAAAACUUACUACCGAAGCUACGGCAUCAGUAAUGAUGGGUAGGGGAGCUUCCCAUACGGGUUGAAGCGUGACCGUAAGGACAUGUGGACAGUAUGGGAGUGAGAAUGUUGGCAUGAGUAGCGAGAUGUGGGUGAGAAUCCCACAGGCCGUAAACCCAAGGUUUCCAGGGGAAGGUUCGUCCGCCCUGGGUUAGUCGGGACCUAAGCUGAGGCCGAAAGGCGUAGGUGAUGGACAACAGGUUGAUAUUCCUGUACUACCGAUAACCGUUUGAGAGAAGGGAUGACACAGUAGGAUAAGCUAAGCACACUGUUGGUUAUGUGUGCCCAAGCAUUGAGGCAGUCAAAGUAGGCAAAUCCGCUUUGAUAAUGCUGGGAUGUGAUGGGGAGCGAAAUUUAGUAGCGAAGUAGCUGAUUUCACACUGUCAAGAAAAGUCUCUAUCGAGGUUAAAGGUACCCGUACCGCAAACCGACACAGGUGGGUGAGGAGAGUAUCCUAAGGCCAGCGAGAGAACUGUUGUUAAGGAACUCGGCAAAAUGACCCCGUAACUUAGGGAUAAGGGGUGCCACCAUCAGGUGGCCGCAGAGAAUAGGCCCAAGCGACUGUUUACCAAAAACAUAGGUUUCUGCUAAGUCGCAAGACGAUGUAUAGGAGCUGACGCCUGCCCGGUGCUGGAAGGUUAAGGGGAUCUGUUAGAGCAAUCGAAGCAGUGAACUUAAGCCCCAGUAAACGGCGGCCGUAACUAUAACGGUCCUAAGGUAGCGAAAUUCCUUGUCGGGUAAGUUCCGACCCGCACGAAAGGCGUAACGAUUUGGGCACUGUCUCAACAACAGACUCGGUGAAAUUGUAAUUCCGGUGAAGAUGCCGGAUACCUGCGACAGGACGGAAAGACCCCAUGGAGCUUUACUGUAGCUUGACAUUGGGUCUUGGUACUACAUGUACAGGAUAGGUGGGAGGCUUUGAAACCAGGACGCCAGUUUUGGCGGAGCCAUCCUUGGGAUACCACCCUUGUAGUACUGGGACUCUAACCAUAGGCCAUGAAUCUGGUCUUGGGACACUGUCAGGUGGGCAGUUUGACUGGGGCGGUCGCCUCCCAAAAGGUAACGGAGGCGCUCAAAGGUUCUCUCAGUACGGUCGGAAAUCGUACGUAGAGUGUAAAGGCAAAAGAGAGCUUGAUUGCAAGACAUACAGGUCGAGCAAGGAUGAAAAUCGGACUUAGUGAUCCGGUGGUUCUGCGUGGAAGGGCCAUCGCUCAACGGAUAAAAGCUACCCUGGGGAUAACAGGCUUAUCUCCCCCAAGAGUCCACAUCGACGGGGAGGUUUGGCACCUCGAUGUCGGCUCAUCACAUCCUGGGGCUGUAGUAGGUCCCAAGGGUUGGGCUGUUCGCCCAUUAAAGUGGUACGCGAGCUGGGUUCAGAACGUCGUGAGACAGUUCGGUCCCUAUCCGUCGCAGGCGUAGGAAAUUUGAGAAGACCUGUCCUUAGUACGAGAGGACCGGGAUGGACGUACCUCUGGUGUACCAGUUGUUCUGCCAAGGGCAUGGCUGGGUAGCUAUGUACGGAAUGGAUAAGCGCUGAAAGCAUCUAAGCGCGAAGCCAACUUCAAGAUAAGAUUUCCCACCGCAAGGGUAAGACCCCAGAAAGACUAUCUGGUUGAUAGGUCGAAGGUGUAAGUGCAGCAAUGUAUUUAGCUUAUCGAUACUAAUAGGUCGAGGACUUGACCAA